This 253-nucleotide ribosomal RNA is filed under the name uncultured bacterium. Its description in RNAcentral is "partial 16S ribosomal RNA". It matches the Rfam family "Bacterial small subunit ribosomal RNA", at positions 524 to 776 of the family's 1533-position model. The record is from RNAcentral.
UACGGAGGGUGCGAGCGUUGUCCGGAAUCACUGGGCGUAAAGGGCGCGUAGGCGGCUUCUUAAGCGGGUGGUGAAAGCUCGGGGCUCAACCUCGAGUCGGCCAUGCGAACUGGGAAGCUCGAGCACUGUAGAGGCAGGCGGAAUUCCGGGUGUAGCGGUGAAAUGCGUAGAUAUCGGAAGGAACAUCAGUGGCGAAAGCGACUUCCUGGACCAGUACCGACGUUCAGGCACGAAAGCGUGGGGAGCAAACAGG